UACGUGGGGUGCAAGCGUUGUUCGGAAUUACUGGGCGUAAAGGGCUCGUAGGCGGCCUAGUAAGUCAGACGUGAAAUCCCUCGGCUUAACCGGGGAACUGCGCUUGAUACUGGAUGGCUUGAGUGUGGGAGAGGGAUGCGGAAUUCCAGGUGUAGCGGUGAAAUGCGUAGAUAUCUGGAGGAACACCGGUGGCGAAGGCGGCAUCCUGGACCAAAACUGACGCUGAGGAGCGAAAGCCAGGGGAGCAAACGGG
RNAcentral lists this ribosomal RNA (253 nucleotides) under uncultured bacterium. RNAcentral's name for it is "partial 16S ribosomal RNA". It matches the Rfam family "Bacterial small subunit ribosomal RNA", at positions 524 to 776 of the family's 1533-position model. The record is from RNAcentral.